GAUGAACGCUGGCGGCGUGCUUAACACAUGCAAGUCGAACGGGAAUUACUUUAUUGAAACUUCGGUCGAUUUAAUUUAAUUCUAGUGGCGGACGGGUGAGUAACGCGUGGGUAACCUGCCUUAUACAGGGGGAUAACAGUCAGAAAUGACUGCUAAUACCGCAUAAGCGCACGGAACCGCAUGGUUCUGUGUGAAAAACUCCGGUGGUAUAAGAUGGACCCGCGUUGGAUUAGCUUGUUGGUGGGUAAUGGCCUACCAAGGCGACGAUCAGUAGCCGGACUGAGAGGUUGAACGGCCACAUUGGGACUGAGAUACGGGCCCAGACUCCUACGGGAGGCAGCAGUCGGGAAUAUUGCGCAAUGGGAGGAAACUCUGACGCAGUGACGCCGCGUGCAGGGAAG
Molecule: ribosomal RNA, 401 nt
Filed under: uncultured bacterium
Lineage: Bacteria
Description: bacterial SSU rRNA
Rfam family: Bacterial small subunit ribosomal RNA
Source: RNAcentral